UCGAAUCCCGGUAGGUCCU
RNAcentral lists this small nuclear RNA (19 nucleotides) under Phaeodactylum tricornutum CCAP 1055/1. Its description in RNAcentral is "snRNA PTsRNA00034a". The record is from RNAcentral. Lineage: Eukaryota; Bacillariophyta; Bacillariophyceae; Surirellales; Neidiaceae.